Octopus sinensis (East Asian common octopus) is the source of this 100-nucleotide long non-coding RNA. RefSeq lists it as uncharacterized. NCBI's taxonomy places the organism in Eukaryota, Metazoa, Mollusca, Cephalopoda, Octopoda, Octopodidae. The record is from RefSeq and is a predicted model, not a curated record. The transcript has 3 exons.
AUAUAUGUGUGUGUGUGUGUAAAAAGGUGUAUAGAAUUAUAGAAUUAAAGGCAAUGCUAUUGCUACUUCAGAGUAAUCCUUAUUUUUAAUAUUGUCAAUA